RNAcentral lists this long non-coding RNA (1878 nucleotides) under Olea europaea subsp. europaea. The record is from RNAcentral. Lineage: Eukaryota; Viridiplantae; Streptophyta; Magnoliopsida; Lamiales; Oleaceae.
GUAUCAUAUACUUUUGCACAAUCCCCUGUCUGACUUAAGUAUCGGAGGGACGACGAGCACAAACAUCGUUGCCUUUGUUUCAGGUAUCGGAAGGCGCAGUUCGUGUUCCAUCUUAGUCCUCAAGCUCGGGAUCUACCAGGUACGAUUUUUGGUAGCAUCAUUGGCGCCGUCUGUGGGAAGUGCUACCAAAAGCCAUGAUGAAUACAUGAUCAGGUGUUCCACAAGCAAGCUCAUCUGUUCCAAAUCCUCCCCCUGAAGAUCAUCAUAUCCCUCAAGAGGAAUCAUCAGAGAUGACAGCACCACCACCUCAUUAUCGUCGGAGCUUUCGAAGAGCUCCGCCAACAAGUUACCGCAUUAACUCAGUUGUUAAGCCAAAGGAACUCACACCUAUCGCAUACACCGACGCCAAAAGGUGAUUUGAUGGCAGCUGCUCGAGUUCGGGCUUUACAAAAUAUUCCUGAUAACGAUGUUGGAACCUCGGGUGUACCUCCUAUGACCGCGGCCUCAACGGCAGUAACGAUGGAAUCAUGUGGACUUGCCAGAAUCAUCCAAGAAGGAAUUACCACGGGCCUAGCACAGAAAGCUAAGGGGACAACAGGCUUUACCCCUAGCACUCCCUUUACUCCUGAACUAUUAUCUUCCCUCUACCUGACAGGUUCAAGUACCUCCGUGUGAAAGAGUAUGACGGUACUACUGACCCUAUUAACCAUCUGAACAUUUAUACCGACAUCAUGAAUCUCCAAGUAGCCCCCGAUCAAGUUAUGUGUAGAGCUUUUCCUCAAACAUUGACCAACGCAGCCCAAGACUGGUUUUCAACUUUGGAGCCAAACUCCAUAGCCUCUUUCUCGGAUCUAGCCGACAAGUUCUCUGCCUUCUUCGCCAGUAGCAAGCGCAUCAGGAAAACAGCAGCUUCCCUCAUGCAACUUCGACAAGGGCAAAAUGAAUCCUUCGCAACUUCAUGACCAGAUUCAACAAGGAAAGACUCCAGAUUCCAGACCUCCAUAUCACAACCACAGUCCCGACCUUAACACAUGUCAUAAGGUGUGAAGCGUUCAAGAUGUCUUUAUCAAAAAUCCCUCCUACAUCAGUAACCGACCUACUUACUCGAGCCAAGAAGUACAUUAUCAUGGAAGAGACUAUGUUUCCAAAGAGAGAUGCCCCACCAUCAGCUAAGCCCGAGCUUAAAAGGCAGCAUGAGCUUAAUCUGCAUCAAGAUCGGCCUCGGGGUAAGACAAGGCAUGAUAACCCUUCAGCAGCCUUUACUCGCCUGAAUACCACAAGAUCUAACAUUUUGAUGAAGGUCAAGGAUAUGAAAGAGCUUAAAUGGCCGUCAAGGAUGAAGUCCUCUUCUAAACCCUGGGACAUGAACAAAUAUCGUGAGUUUCAUAUAGACCAUGGACAUACCACAGAGACAUGCAAAGCUUUACAGUACGAGAUCGAGUCUUUGAUCAAGAGAGGAUUCCUAGGGGCAUAUGUCGGUCAAGACAAGCAUUCGAGGAAUGAUCAUAACAAGGCAAAUACCUCAGGGACUUACAUGUUUUAAUGUCAUUGUCUAGAUGGUCAAUGCCAUACAUCUAAUGUACCAGGGUCUUACAUGUUUUUAUGCCCCAUUUAUUUUCAUUUCGUAAUUGGUAGGGCCUACGAGCCCAUUUUAUCUUUUAGCUGGUCGGGUCUGCGUGUCCAUAUUAGUUUGUUAGCUGGUCGGGCCUGUGUGCCUAUACUUUUCAGCUUAUUUCGGUUAGGUGUCGGGAUGCCAUCCCAAUAAAAAUCUACUCUUCCAACCCAUGAUAGCACAUGAAAGCCUUGCUCCGCUCAAAUACUCAAAGCUUUGUCCCGUGCAAGCACUCUAAGCCUUACCCCCGAGCAAGCACCUCUAAG